GGGAGCAGAGGUGGUGCCAAAAUUUGUGCUUCUCCACCUCUGCUGCGUGCGAGCCGCUUCGCUCCACCAGCAGCCCAGAGGGCAGCUCGCAGGGUUUGAGCCCUGCUGCCCAGAGGCUGCUUCACACCUCCUCUUUCCCUUCCCUUGCACCUCCCUCCGGCAGCCCCCGAGGCGAGGAUGCUCCAGCAAAGCAGAAGGCACGGUGCGUAAAGGCUCCGUUGCAGGAGGUGGGGGCUUGGCAGCAGCUUUUUGCCCCUCCUGUGCCCUCCCUCACCCUGCUGCCUGCCAGGGCGUGAGACCUGGCUGGAGCAAAUCCCCCGAGCCAACCCUCCUGUCCUGGCCGUGUCCAGGCACACAGAGCCCACAUCCAAGCUCCCGAGCCCCCUCCAUCCAAAUGCCAAAUUCAUGGGGAGGUGGCUGGGGUACCCUCAGCCAUGCAGGCUGCCCAGCCUCUAGACUGCUGCUCCAGCUCCUAAGGGACCCGCACAGCCCAUGGUGGAGCAGGAGGGCUGCAGAAUGGGGCAAAAUCCUCAGCAGGAUGUUUUGUGCCGGAGGAGUUUGUGCCUCUGCAGUCCCAAGGCUUGAGCAAGGCUUUAGAGGCAUGGGCAGCUCAAGCAGCUGCUGGGGGUUGCACUCAGAGCAUGAGCAGAGCCAUCUGAAAGCCACUUUGAAACCCCAGCAAAUGGUCCAGAGGAGAAAAGGGACAUGCCAGACCUGAGGGACACCGUGAGGACAUGCAGGUGCCUUUGGAGGACACCGAAAGUGAAUUUUGGGUCCAGGCAGUGCUGGGUGCACGCGGUACUGCCAGCACCUUGCUGGGCAGAAGGGUGGGAUGGAGCCUAUGCUAAUGGGGGGCACGAGGAGAUUUGGGGCUGUUCCUUGAAGGGAUGGGUCCCAGGAGACAUCAGGGGCUGCCAGCCAAGCCUCACGCUGCUGCUGGGUCCCACCUGCUGGCCCCGUAACCCCAGAGGCUCUGCCAGGCGCUGCCUGCCCCAAGCUGCUCCAGCCCGGGCACGGCGCGGUGCCAC
This 1028-nucleotide long non-coding RNA is filed under the name Anas platyrhynchos platyrhynchos (common mallard). Its description in RNAcentral is "lncRNA (ENSAPLG00000026100.1)". The record is from RNAcentral. Lineage: Eukaryota; Metazoa; Chordata; Aves; Anseriformes; Anatidae.